RNAcentral lists this ribosomal RNA (495 nucleotides) under uncultured Glomus. RNAcentral's name for it is "SSU rRNA". It matches the Rfam family "Eukaryotic small subunit ribosomal RNA", at positions 569 to 1070 of the family's 1831-position model. The record is from RNAcentral. Lineage: Eukaryota; Fungi; Glomeromycota; Glomeromycetes; Glomerales; Glomeraceae.
AGCAGCCGCGGUAAUUCCAGCUCCAAUAGCGUAUAUUAAAGUUGUUGCAGUUAAAAAGCUCGUAGUUGAAUUUCGGGAUCAAUACGUCGGUCGUGCUUCGGUACGUACUGGCGUCAUUGAUUUCUCCCUUCUGACGAACCAUGAUGUCAUUAACUUGGUGUCAUGGGAAAUCAGGACUGUUACUUUGAAAAAUUAGAGUGUUUAAAGCAGGCUCACGCUUGAAUACAUUAGCAUGGAAUAAUGAAAUAGGACGUUCGAACCUAUUUUGUUGGUUUCUAGGAUCAACGUAAUGAUUAAUAGGGAUAGUUGGGGGCAUUAGUAUUCAAUUGUCAGAGGUGAAAUUCUUGGAUUUAUUGAAGACUAACUACUGCGAAAGCAUUUGCCAAGGAUGUUUUCAUUAAUCAAGAACGAAAGUUAGGGGAUCGAAGACGAUCAGAUACCGUCGUAGCCUUAACCAUAAACUAUGCCGACUAGGGAUCGGAUGAUGUAAUUUUU